AGUGAACGCUGGCGGUAGGCCUAACACUUGCAAGUCGAACGGCAGCACAGUAAGAGCUUGCUCUUACGGGUGGCGAGUGGCGGACGGGUGAGGAAUACAUCGGAAUCUACUUUUUCGUGGGGGAUAACGUAGGGAAACUUACGUUAAUACCGCAUACGACCUACGGGUGAAAGCAGGGGAUCUUCGGACCUUGCGCGAUUGAAUGAGCCGAUGUCGGAUUAGCUAGUUGGCGGGGUAAAGGCCCACCAAGGCGACGAUCCGUAGCUGGUCUGAGAGGAUGAUCAGCCACACUGGAACUGAGACACGGUCCAGACUCCUACGGGAGGCAGCAGUGGGGAAUAUUGGACAAUGGGCGCAAGCCUGAUCCAGCCAUACCGCGUGGGUGAAGAAGGCCUUCGGGUUGUAAAGCCCUUUUGUUGGGAAAGAAAAGCAGCAGGUUAAUACCCCGCUGUUCUGACGGUACCCAAAGAAUAAGCACCGGCUAACUUCGUG
This 492-nucleotide ribosomal RNA is filed under the name uncultured bacterium. Its description in RNAcentral is "partial 16S ribosomal RNA". It matches the Rfam family "Bacterial small subunit ribosomal RNA", at positions 29 to 507 of the family's 1533-position model. The record is from RNAcentral.